Molecule: ribosomal RNA, 505 nt
Filed under: uncultured bacterium
Lineage: Bacteria
Description: bacterial SSU rRNA
Rfam family: Bacterial small subunit ribosomal RNA
Source: RNAcentral
GGACGACGCUGGCGGCGUGCUUAAUACAUGCAAGUCGAGCGAGGCCUUGGAAUUGGAGUCCUUCGGGAUGAAGAGUCCUUGGCCUAGCGGCGGACGGGUGAGUAACGCGUGGGCAACCUACCCCAAAGUCCGGGAUAACAGUGGGAAACCGCUGCUAAUACCGGAUGGCUUUACCUGAGGGCAUCCUUGGGUAAAGAAAGGUUACGCUUUGGGAUGGGCCCGCGUCCCAUUAGCUAGUUGGUGAGGUAACGGCUCACCAAGGCGACGAUGGGUAGCCGGCCUGAGAGGGUGAACGGCCACACUGGGACUGAGACACGGCCCAGACUCCUACGGGAGGCAGCAGUAGGGAAUAUUGCGCAAUGGGCGGAAGCCUGACGCAGCGACGCCGCGUGAGCGAAGAAGGCCUUCGGGGUGUAAAGUUCUUUUCUAUACGAGCAGUGCUAUAUAUAUGGAUAGUAUAUAUAGAGGGAUAGUAGUAUAGGAAUAAGCAACGGCUAACUCCGUG